UACAGAGGGUGCAAGCGUUGUUCGGAAUCAUUGGGCGUAAAGGGCGCGUAGGCGGCCUCCUAAGUCAGACGUGAAAUCCCCCGGCUUAACCUGGGAACUGCGUCUGAUACUGGGAGGCUAGAGUGCGGGAGAGGGAUGCGGAAUUCCAGGUGUAGCGGUGAAAUGCGUAGAUAUCUGGAGGAACACCGGUGGCGAAGGCGGCAUCCUGGACCGACACUGACGCUGAGGCGCGAAAGCUAGGGUAGCAAACGGG
RNAcentral lists this ribosomal RNA (253 nucleotides) under uncultured bacterium. Its description in RNAcentral is "partial 16S ribosomal RNA". It matches the Rfam family "Bacterial small subunit ribosomal RNA", at positions 524 to 776 of the family's 1533-position model. The record is from RNAcentral.